UGGGGAAUUUUGCACAAUGGGGGAAACCCUGAUGCAGCGACGCCGCGUGAUUUAGAAGGCCUUCGGGUUGUAAAAAUCUUUUCUAUGGGAAGAAAAUGACAGUACCAUAGGAAUAAGGACCGGCUAAUUACGUGCCAGCAGCCGCGGUAAUACGUAAGGUCCGAGCGUUGUCCGGAAUCAUUGGGCGUAAAGGGUACGUAGGCGGGUAAGCAAGUUAGAAGUGAAAUCCUAUAGCUCAACUAUAGUAAGCUUUUAAAACUGCUCAUCUUGAUGUAGGGAAGGGAAAGUGGAAUUCCUAGUGUAGCGGUGAAAUGCGCAGAUAUUAGGAGGAAUACCGGUGGCGAAGGCGACUUUCUGGCCAUACCCUAACGCUGAGGUACGAAAGCGUGGGUAGCAAACAGG
This 402-nucleotide ribosomal RNA is filed under the name bacterium. RNAcentral describes it as "partial 16S ribosomal RNA". It matches the Rfam family "Bacterial small subunit ribosomal RNA", at positions 355 to 776 of the family's 1533-position model. The record is from RNAcentral.